AGAGUUUGAUCCUGGCUCAGAUUGAACGCUGGCGGCAUGCCGUACACAUGCAAGUCGAACGGUAACGCGGGGGCAACCCUGGCGACGAGUGGCGAACGGGUGAGUAAUACAUCGGAACAUAUCCAGUAGCGGGGGAUAACCUAUCGAAAGAUGGACUAAUACCGCAUACGAUCUACGGAUGAAAGCAGGGGACCGCAAGGCCUUGCACUAUUGGAGUGGCCGAUGUCGGAUUAGCUAGUUGGUGGGGUAAAAGCUUACCAAGGCGACGAUCCGUAGCUGGUCUGAGAGGACGAUCAGCCACACUGGAACUGAGACACGGUCCAGACUCCUACGGGAGGCAGCAGUGGGGAAUUUUGGACAAUGGGCGCAAGCCUGAUCCAGCCAUGCCGCGUGAGUGAAGAAGGCCUUCGGGUUGUAAAGCUCUUUCGGUGAAGACGAAACGGUUCAUGCUAAUAACGUGAACUAAUGACGGUACUCACAGAAGAAGCACCGGCUAACUACGUGCCAGCAGCCGCGGUAAUACGUAGGGUGCAGGCGUUAAUCGGAAUUACUGGGCGUAAAGCGUGCGCAGGCGGUUUGCUAAGACAGGUGUGAAAUCCCCGGGCUUAACCUGGGAAUUGCGCUUGUAACUGGCAAGCUAGAGUGUGGCAGAGGGGGGUGGAAUUCCACGUGUAGCAGUGAAAUGCGUAGAUAUGUGGAGGAACACCGAUGGCGAAGGCAGCCCCCUGGGUUAACACUGACGCUCAUGCACGAAAGCGUGGGGAGCAAACAGGAUUAGAUACCCUGGUAGUCCACGCCCUAAACUAUGUCAACUAGUUGUCGGGGAAGAAAUUCCUUGGUAACGAAGCUAACGCGUGAAGUUGACCGCCUGGGGAGUACGGCCGCAAGGUUAAAACUCAAAGGAAUUGACGGGGACCCGCACAAGCGGUGGAUUAUGUGGAUUAAUUCGAUGCAACGCGAAAAACCUUACCUACCCUUGACAUGCUAGGAAGCCCGCAGAGAUGUGGGUGUGCCCGAAAGGGAACCUAGACACAGGUGCUGCAUGGCUGUCGUCAGCUCGUGUCGUGAGAUGUUGGGUUAAGUCCCGCAACGAGCGCAACCCUUGCCAUUAGUUGCUACAUUCAGUUGGGCACUCUAAUGGGACCGCCGGUGACAAACCGGAGGAAGGUGGGGAUGACGUCAAGUCCUCAUGGCCCUUAUGACUUGGGCUACACACGUACUACAAUGGCGUUAAACAAAGAGAAGCAAGACCGCGAGGUGGAGCAAAACUCAGAAACAACGUCCCAGUUCGGACUGCAGGCUGCAACUCGCCUGCACGAAGUCGGAAUUGCUAGUAAUCGUGGGUCAGCAUGCCACGGUGAAUACGUUCCC
RNAcentral lists this ribosomal RNA (1371 nucleotides) under metagenome. RNAcentral describes it as "bacterial SSU rRNA". It matches the Rfam family "Bacterial small subunit ribosomal RNA", at positions 8 to 1375 of the family's 1533-position model. The record is from RNAcentral.